Molecule: transfer RNA, 73 nt
Organism: Ovis aries (sheep)
Lineage: Eukaryota; Metazoa; Chordata; Mammalia; Artiodactyla; Bovidae
Rfam family: tRNA
About the family: Transfer RNA (tRNA) molecules are approximately 80 nucleotides in length. Their secondary structure includes four short double-helical elements and three loops (D, anti-codon, and T loops).
Source: Rfam
UCCCUUGUAGCUCAGUUGGUAAAGAAUCUGCCUGCAAUGCAGUAGAUCUGGGUUCGAAUCCUGGGUUGGGGUG